RNAcentral lists this ribosomal RNA (301 nucleotides) under uncultured bacterium. RNAcentral describes it as "partial 16S ribosomal RNA". It matches the Rfam family "Bacterial small subunit ribosomal RNA", at positions 509 to 807 of the family's 1533-position model. The record is from RNAcentral.
CAGCAGCCGCGGGAAUACGUAGGUGGCAAGCGUUGUCCGGAAUUAUUGGGCGUAAAGGGCUCGCAGGCGGUUUCUUAAGUCUGAUGAGAAAGCCCCCGGCUCAACCGGGGAGAGUCAUUGGAAACUGGGAAACUUGAGUGCAGAAGAGGAGAGUGGAAUUCCACGUGUAGCGGUGAAAUGCGUAGAGAUGUGGAGGAACACCAGUGGCGAAGGCGACUCUCUGGUCUGUAACUGACGCUGAGGAGCGAAAGCGUGGGGAGCGAACAGGAUUAGAUACCCCUGUAGUCCCUGUCUCUUAUAC